CAAAGAGAAUUAAAAACAACUUUGUUCUUCUCUUAUUUUAUUAGAUAAAUAGAUAUAUAAAUAAAUAUAUUAAUAUAAAAAUUAUCUUUAUGAUAAUAUAUUUAUAAUAAAUUUUAUUAUAUAAUAUAAAUUCAUUAAAUUUUAUAUAAUAUUUAUUUUAUUAUUUUAUUAUUUAUGUAUUAAUAUUUAAUUAUUUUAUUUUUUUAUUAAGCAUUAUAUGUAUAAUUAUUUUUUUCAUAUAUUAUAUGUUUAUUUUAAAUUUGUACUAAAAUUAUUUUAUUCAAUACAUAUGUUGUGGAUAAAUUAUAUAAAAUGGAUAAAUUAUAUAUAUAUAAUAGGUUGUUACAUAAAAUAAAUCAUUAUACAAAAUAAAAUAAAUAUACUAAUAUAAAUUAAAUGUUAUAUAAAAUAUUAUAUUAUAAAUUGUUAUAUAAAAUUAAUUUAUAAAUAAUUUUAUAUAAAAUAUACUGAUAUAAAUGAAUUAUGUUAUUUUUCAAACAUAUUUAGACAUCAUUCUAAAACUUUUAUCCAAAACGCUACUAAGAAUAUCACCUAGAAUAUCUCUGAAUGCAUCCAAAUGCAAAUUUACUGUUGUUCUAAAUUAUGUUGGGAUAUCUUUUGUUCUCGAGAAUAACAAAAGUUAUACCCCAAAAUUUAGUUCACGAGCCAAAUGCAUCCUUAAUUAAUUGCUAAGAAUGGAAAAAUUACAGACUAUUCUACUCCUAGAAUUUUUUUUUUUAAGAUAUAGAUAGCACGUUACCCGUUUCGUUUAUUUCAUUUAGAAAUAAACUUAGCUGGAAAUAUGAAUCAACUAGGAUUCGAACUUGGGAUCUCGGGUACCAACCAUCAAACCCUUUGCCACUUGCUCUAGGGACAGUCGGUGUGGAAAGA
This 891-nucleotide long non-coding RNA is filed under the name Ananas comosus (pineapple). RNAcentral's name for it is "long non-coding RNA (ACOM_LNC005650)". The record is from RNAcentral. Lineage: Eukaryota; Viridiplantae; Streptophyta; Magnoliopsida; Poales; Bromeliaceae.